This 300-nucleotide ribosomal RNA is filed under the name uncultured Methanomassiliicoccus sp. RNAcentral's name for it is "bacterial SSU rRNA". It matches the Rfam family "Bacterial small subunit ribosomal RNA", at positions 496 to 795 of the family's 1533-position model. Lineage: Archaea; Methanobacteriati; Thermoplasmatota; Thermoplasmata; Methanomassiliicoccales; Methanomassiliicoccaceae. The record is from RNAcentral.
GCUAAUUGCGGGCCGAGAGCGUGGGUGAUAGGGAGGGGGCAGUGGUGGUCCGGAGUUAUUGAGCGUAAAGGGCUUGUAGGCGGGUGGUCGCGUCUGGUGUGAAAGCCCAUCGCUUAACGGUGGGUCUGCGCCGGGUACGGGCGGGCUAGAGUGCAGUAGGGGAGACUGGAAUUCCCGGUGUAACGGUGGAAUGUGUAGAUAUCGGGAAGAACACCAAUGGCGAAGGCAGGUCUCUGGGCUGUUACUGACGCUGAGAAGCGAAAGCGUGGGGAGCGAACAGGAUUAGAUACCCCUGUAGUC